RNAcentral lists this unclassified non-coding RNA (610 nucleotides) under Gomphonema lagenula. RNAcentral's name for it is "sequence contains ITS1, 5.8S rRNA gene and ITS2". The stretch from base 205 to 360 matches the Rfam family "5.8S ribosomal RNA". The record is from RNAcentral. Lineage: Eukaryota; Bacillariophyta; Bacillariophyceae; Cymbellales; Gomphonemataceae.
UGCUCUUGAGCAAGUAAUGCAGUGCAUGCUGUGUUCAUGAUUCUUUUGGGUUUGAUUCUUUUGAGGAUUCUGAUUCUGAGUAUAAACCCUUUUGUUUAGCCUGGUUCUGUGUCCUUCGGGAUGUGGGGUUGGGUUUUUCAAAAACUAACCAGAAAGACAAAUAUAUCUAAGUCCCGCGAUGCCAAGCGGUUAUGGCGAAAGUACAACUUUCAGCAACGGAUGUCUAGGGUCUCGCAUCGAUGAAGAACGCAGCGAAAUGUGAUACGUAAUGCGAAUUGCAAAGCUUUGUGAAUCAUUGAAAUUUUGAACGCAUAUUGCGCUUGCAGGAUUUUUCCUGGGAGCAUGCAUGUCUGAGUGUCAGCAAACACCACUCAGCGCCUUUGCUUGCAAGGGUUGCUGGAUUCUUGCAUUGGUUUAUGAAAAUAAACACUGUGCAUAAGUGUAGACGAGAGGAUUUCAGAGUAGGUUAUCGAGCCGCGUGAUUUCUAUUUCUGUAUGUUCGCUUCUGUGUUCAUAUGAAAAUUGGGGUCGCAAAGUGUUGACGUAAUUAUUUCUCAGUUAUCAGCUUGAUGGGGAAAUUUAUUUCUCCAAAAUUUUUUACUGCGACGCA